RNAcentral lists this long non-coding RNA (3793 nucleotides) under Nothobranchius furzeri (turquoise killifish). RNAcentral's name for it is "lncRNA (ENSNFUG00015002233.1)". Lineage: Eukaryota; Metazoa; Chordata; Actinopteri; Cyprinodontiformes; Nothobranchiidae. The record is from RNAcentral.
CAUUUCUGCUGUCACUGGUUAACUAGUGGGCACAUUUUCACCCUCGAUAUUUAACUAGUUGACACAAACAUGUCUAACUAGUUAACUAGUGGACAGAAAUGGCUUACAUGUUCAUGACAAUUCUGGCUGAUAUCCUGAUAUCAGAAUAAAUGCUCAUUUGGCUUGCCAUACUUCUGAGACACUUCUGACUCGUUCUGCUAACAUUUCUAAAUAAAACACCCAGUUGACUCAACCCUGUGACAACGUCCGGCACCUUCUAGUGGCCACAUGAGUUCACUUUUCAUUUUAGUCUGCACUCAGGUUCUGUUAUUAGGAAAACACACAUACAUAUUUGAAGAUGUUAACUUUCACAUCUCCAGUGAAGUUUGUGUCACUCGUGGAUUUUCAUCAUUUCACGAAUUAGAACUAACUCUCGAACAAACGCCCCACAAAGAGCAAAAAUACCACAGAGAGAAGAGAACAAACAGGGCUUUUAUCUGAACAGAGCUUCCCCUUGUGGGGUGUCAUAUUGUCAUUUCCUGACAUAUUUUAAGAAAGAAUUGCUGACGGGACAUUUUUGUCUCAAUAAGCAAGAAACAUCUACCAGAAAACAUCUGAUGAAAGAAGGAUGAGUAUCCUGUCAUUGUUGGUUCUCUGUAUCAUGCGUUCCUCAGGGGCAGCAGCUGGACUUUAUUCUACUGAUCCAUCUCUGGUGGUUUCCACUGAAGGACAAAGUAUCUGUUUGCCAUGUGGCGUACCUUCUGAGUCGUGCUCCUCGAUAAACUGGAAGAUGGAAGAAAGGGUUCCCGGCUGGUUUUCUGAUGUGGUGAUGGAUGGAAGGGUGACAUCUGCAGAUGCCAGGUAUCAUCUGUUGAAGGACUGUUCCUUGGAAAUCGCUCAAGUCAAACCUGAUGAUGCCCACAUGUACACCUGUCAAAGCGGAUCACUUAAGUCAAGUGUUUCACUUCGGAUCCUUGAAGUUAUUGAGAGCCAAACUCCUGCAGAGGGCACAAUAGAGCUUCACUGUUAUCUGAACACAUUUAAAGGAUACGUGCCUUGCAGCAGAAACUCAGACAUCCACAUCAGAUGGACUGACCAGAAUGAUGAACCACUAAAUGGUCAAAGAUUUAGAUCUGAGACUCUAUCUGCUUGCUUCUCUAAACUUUUCAUCACCAAAAAACUGACGGACCAUCAUAGAACGUGGAAAUGUCACGUCCUACAGAACAACCAGAUUAAAGCCUCCGUCAGUUAUGAGACUACAGUAGAAGGUGGCCUGGAGGAAGUGUUUGCUGCUGUGGGUGAGUCAGUGUCACUCACUUGCACUUCCUCUCUCAGUUCUGGAGGCAACACAGAGUGGACUGUGAACAAAACACCACUGAGAAACAUGUCAUCUGAAACCAGCCCAACAAAAGCAUUUCACCUGGAUGAAGACUCAUCGUUGGUGAUCAGUAAACUGAGUCCUCUGAAUGCAGGAGAAUAUCAGUGUACUGAGUCCACCGGCCUGCAAAGAGUCCUCAACAAAAUCAGGCUGCACACACUCGAUGUUACGGCAGAGUCCACGUCAGCAGGAGUGAAGCUCACCUGUGUGCUAACUUGUGCUGAACAAUGUGAAGAAAACUUUAACCUAAGCUGGUCUGGAACCAGUCGAGAAGCUCUGCAGACACUUAUCAGGUUAUGUGUCCAUCUUGUCCUCCUGAUGGGUGCAGCUGCAGGAGGACUGUACACACACAUGAAGUGGAAGCAGAGGAAGGCUGCAGGUACAGGAUCUGGUCAAAGGUAUCAUCUAAACAGCUGCUAGUGGAUAAUAAAUUUAUCUGGGACAUGAAUAAAAAUAAAUAAACCUUUUGUUUUCUCCUCUUCUCUUUAUUCAGCAACAGAACACAACAAUAUUGAAAUGGUAAGAUAAACACCUGUGAUGUGUGCACAUAUUCUAACAUUAACACUUUCUAUCUCACUCAGUAUGAAGAACAGGAUCUGAGAUGAUCCAGAAAAGAAGUGACCACUAAUGCUGACUACUUCCGUCACUUUCAGUUAAACGAACGUUGUGCUCUUUGUUUUCAUUCAUGCUGUAGAUUAUUUUUAAAACAAUAAAUGCUUCUAAAUGCAAUGGAAAUGGACGGGGAGCAGGUUUUAAAUUAGUUGUUGUGAAUAUCUAAUCAGUGUUUCUGAAUCCAUCAGAUGUGAGCCUUAGAAACACAACAGGAGCUACUUCUGACUGGUGACAAACCACAGAUAACUCUGUCCUCAGUUUAACCAGCAGAUGGAGCAUCAUCACUCAGAUCACAAUUCUGUCACGUCUGCCCCUGCCUCCCUGAUUGUGUCUCUCUCCUGCCCUUGAUUAGUCCUUAUUGUUUUCACCUGCCCCUUGUUACCUGCCCAUGUGUUCCUCAUUUGCCCUGUGUAUUUAUACCUCCCUCCUUGUAUCAGUCUUUGUCAGAUCAUUGUGUUUGUAGUCAGCAUUGUUUUUGUCCUGUCGUUCCCGCUCUGUUAUUAAAACCAUUUUUACUUUAUCCAAGCCUGCAUUUUUGCCUCCGGGUCAGCUCCUCCACACACGGUCCGCUGUCAUCCACACCCACAACGUGACAAAUUCAGCAUAAUAACUGGGAUUUUUACUAAGUUAGGUCAUUUUGUCAGAUUCUUACAUUUGGAUUAGAAAAACAUUAACUAUCAAAGUGUCAGGUCUCCUCACCUUGGCUCAACUGAGUGAGCAGUGAGGAGGGCUGUAGCGUGUAACAACAACCAAACGCGGAAGUGCUAGAGAUGGGUGACGUCUAACACGCAUUUAAUAUAGGAACGCCGGCACGAGCCAAGAAGGGAAACGAGGACGUGGCGAUGUUCCAGAAGGUAAAAGGAACAGGCUUACUGUUUAGAGGUUGAAGAUGGUGCUGAGGAGCGUGGGAGCUCUGGAAUCGCCCGGCGUGAAUGACGGGCCGAAGCGACAGGUUGAGCUGUGGCCGUCCGACUUGAGCUGGAGCGUUGGCUAGGACCAAGGAGCCAUUGAGCGAGGUGAGCACGGAGGCUCCUGGUGCAACGGCGUGGUGGAUUGAGCCGACACGCUGGAAACGUGUGGUUCUUUUUCCUUAUCAAAAACAAGAGAGAGAGACAAGUUUUGUCCAAACUCAGCGUGGGGCGUUUAUUUACACUACUCAUCCAUACAUCACCAACACUUCAUGGGGACAGCGUCCAGCUUCGAUCUAAACACCUCGGCUGGAGAUCCUCCUGCAAAGCCCACGUUCUCCUACACCACGCAGCAUCAUAUACUCUUCAACCCCCACCUCUGAGAAAUGAUGGGGUGCUACUUCCACAUCCUAAUAUGGUCAAAAGUAGUUGAGACUUACAUAAGCUGGACAGAUCAACAUGUUUUGGAGCAUGUACUCAGCAGCUGGGCUGCCUGAUAAACGGCUGGUAUUGAUAAGCAACAUGUCAACAUGCACGUACACAAAACACUGCUUUUAGCUCCUACAGAUCCCCCCCAUGGGGGUGUCCACCCCCAUUAAUAAGCUGGCUACAUAACAUAUAACUUAACACAUAAGUGAACGUUAACAUAAACCAGUAAAUGGGCGUCGAAUGGCAAAAUGACAAAUACACUACAAACUUCAACCAAACUAUAUAGGCAUAUAUGUAACGACGAAGUAACUGCAAACCAACACUUGGAUGAGUACACAAAGUAAGUAUCAGCUUCAAAACACAAUAUGGAAUGUGACGUCUUUAACCAGCUCAGUCACAUCAAAAUGCAUGCGCAAACUGUAAGGGGGCGAAAACCUGUCCGCUGUUCUUAACAGGAAAAAUUCCCCCUUGACCUCCUGGCCCCAAA